This is a long non-coding RNA of Corvus hawaiiensis (hawaiian crow), 1639 nucleotides long. RefSeq lists it as uncharacterized. The transcript has 2 exons. The record is from RefSeq and is a predicted model, not a curated record. NCBI's taxonomy places the organism in Eukaryota, Metazoa, Chordata, Aves, Passeriformes, Corvidae.
CGGCUGCGAAGCCGCUUCCGCCCGCGGCCCGGGCACUUCCGCCCCGCUCCCGCCGCCAUUUCGGGCUCUGCGGGGCUGCGCCGGGUGGUCCCCGCGGAGGGCGGCGAGGGUGACCGCGGCACUGGGGCAUCGUUCCCACGAGGAAAGGCUGAGGGAGCUGGGCCUGUUCGGCCUGAGAGGCUCGGACGACUGAGAGGGGACUUCAUCCAUGUCUAUAAGUAUCUGAAUGGAGAAUGUCAGACAGACUCUUCUCGGUGGUGCCCACCACUAGGACAAGAGGCAACGAACAGAAACCGAUGCACAGCAAGUUCCACCUGAACAAGAGGAAGAACUUCUUUACUGUGCGGGUGACUGAGCACUGGGACAGAUUGCCCACAGAGGUUGUGGAGUCUCCCCCUCUGGAGAUAUUCCAAAACUGUCCGGAGGCAAUCCUGUGCCAUGGGCUCUGGGAUGACCCUGCUCGAGCAGGGAGGUUGGAGCAGUGACCCUCUGUGGUCCGUCCAUCCUGACCCAUUCGAUGAGCCUGUGGUCUGGGCGAGGAUAUGCUGUUGACUUGUUCCUAUGGUUUUCCAUUCGCCUCAUAAUCCACCAGUGACGAGCAGCUGCUGCUGUGUCACAAAAGGAGACGGGUGGUCUCUGCUGCUACAGGACUGGUACAACCUAACACUUCUAAUAGACUAACAAAACAAGGGAAUGAAGUUAAACCUGUGACCAUGCUCUCUUUUUCUUCAUCAUGCCAGACCACUUUUGUGACCAUACACCACGAGCCACUUGAAGGUUUAGAGCCCCUCGAGCUAUGGAGUUGAGGAGCCCUUCCCCAGCCGUCCAUUGCUACAUGCACAGCGUGGAGUGGUGAAGUCAUAUAUCUUCCAAGACACCAUGCCUUUAUUUAGAUGGAUAUACUGGGAUUAAGUCUUCCAGCAGCCUGCACUUCAAGACUGAGAAGGUGUUAUAUAAAGGAAUUGCAGCUGUUCGAACUAUGAACUAUCUUGCUGUUAAAACUAUUUGGUUAGUUCAGAGAUCCCCUAUGUUCUGGAGUUUUCCAUUCCUCUUCCUACAGUCAUUUAAGUUAUUUAUGACAUAUUUUUAAUUAUUCAAAACACAUUUCUUAGUCUUUUCAGUUCCCAUGUGGAGCAGCUGGCUUCAGUUAGCUGAACAUUAUUGUUAAGCCUCACUUUAAAGUACUUCAAAAUUCUUGUAUAAAUUGCCUUACACUCUUAAUUAAGGGGAAGGAUGUGGCUGUUACAUAAAAAAAAAAAAAAUCUGCUCUCUAUACCAUGUCACAGUCCUAAACCAGAAUCUCCCAAACACAUCCUGCUUGGGGCUACCAGGGUGAAUAGAGCUGAUGUUAAGAAUUAGACAUUCUUAGACAUCACUAAUUUGGUUAAGAGACCACCUGGGAACCCCGUCUUAUCCCCCAAGCCAAAGCUAGGAAGAUGUCAGAAUUCUAGACCACUGAAAUGGAAUGAAACUCCCUCUGGACUUCUUGCCAUUGCAGAUACAAACGACAGGGCAAAGAAGAGACAAAAAUCUAAAUGCCUAAAAUCUAAAUUGCCAAUCUCAGUAAAGUGUACAAUUGUACAGUCUUUAACUGCAUGAACUGCCACUGUGAAGUUGCAAAAUAAAGGGGAGAGGCAGU